Molecule: ribosomal RNA, 377 nt
Filed under: uncultured bacterium
Lineage: Bacteria
Description: partial 16S ribosomal RNA
Rfam family: Bacterial small subunit ribosomal RNA
Source: RNAcentral
CCUACGGGUGGCAGCAGUGGGGAAUAUUGCACAAUGGGCGAAACCCUGAUGCAGCGAAGCCGCGUGAGUGAAGAAGUAUCUCCGUGUUGAAAGCUCUAUCAGCAGGGAAGAAAAUGACUGUACCUGAUUAAUAAGCCACUGCUAAAGACGUUCCAGCAGCCGCGGGAAUACGGAGGGCGCAAGCGUUAUCCGGAUUUACUGGGGUGUAAGGGGGCGUAGACGGGAGCACAAGUCUGGAGGGAAAUGCCGGGGCUUAACCCCGGAACUGCCUUGGAAACUGUGCAGCUAGAGUGAAGGAGAGGUAAGUGGAAUGCGUGGUGUAGCGGUGAAAUGCGUAGAUAUCAGGAAGAACACCAGUGGCGAAGGCGGCUUACUGG